AAUCAACGCUGGCGGCGUGCCUCAGACAUGCAAGUCGAACGAUUAAACUCGCCUUCGGGUGAGAUAUAAAGUGGCGCACGGGUGAGUAACACGUAGGUAAUGUACCUUUGGGUGGGGAAUAACUUAGGGAAACUUAAGCUAAUACCGCAUAAUGCAGCGGCUCCUUCGGGAGACAGUUGUUAAAGAUUUAUCGCCUAAAGAGCAGCCUGCGGCAGAUUAGCUAGUUGGUAAGGUAACGGCUUACCAAGGCUACGAUCUGUAUCCGACCUGAGAGGGUGGUCGGACACACUGACACUGAAUAACGGGUCAGACUCCUACGGGAGGCAGCAGUCGGGAAUUUUGGGCAAUGGGCGAAAGCCUGACCCAGCAACGCCGCGUGAAGGAUGAAGUCUUUCGGGAUGUAAACUUCGUAAGAAUAGGAAGAAUAAAUGACGGUACUAUUUGUAAGGUCCGGCUAACUACGUGC
RNAcentral lists this ribosomal RNA (466 nucleotides) under uncultured bacterium. Its description in RNAcentral is "bacterial SSU rRNA". It matches the Rfam family "Bacterial small subunit ribosomal RNA", at positions 32 to 508 of the family's 1533-position model. The record is from RNAcentral.